Molecule: ribosomal RNA, 795 nt
Filed under: uncultured archaeon
Lineage: Archaea
Description: bacterial SSU rRNA
Rfam family: Archaeal small subunit ribosomal RNA
Source: RNAcentral
ACGGCUCAGUAACACGUGGACAACCUGCCCUGAGGACUGGAAUAAUCCCGGGAAACUGGGGGUAAUUCCAGAUAUGUCAGAACACCUGGAAUGGGUUCUGGCAGAAAUGCUCCGGCGCCUCAGGAUGGGUCUGCGGCCUAUCAGGGUAGUAGUGGGUGUAACGUACCUACUAGCCUACGAUGGGUACGGGUUGUGAGAGCAAGAGCCCGGAGAUGGAUUCUGAGACAUGAAUCCAGGCCCUACGGGGUGCAGCAGGCGCGAAAACUUUACAAUGCGGGCAACCGCGAUAAGGGGACCUCGAGUGCUGGGUUACAAACCUGGCUGUUGGGCUGCCUAAAAAGCAGUCUAUAGCAAGGGCCGGGCAAGACCGGUGCCAGCCGCCGCGGUAACACCGGCGGCUCGAGUGGUAACCGCUGUUAUUGGGUCUAAAGGGUCUGUAGCCUGCCGGCUAAGUCUCUUGGGAAAUCUGGCAUCUCAAGUGUCAGGCUGCCAGGGGAUACUGGCCGGCUUGGGACCGGGAGAGGUGAGAGGUACCUCAGGGGUAGGGGUGAAAUCUUGUAAUCCUUGAGGGACCACCAGUGGCGAAGGCGUCUCACCUGAACGGAUCCGACGGCAAGGGACGAAAGCUAGGGGCACGAACCGGAUUAGAUACCCGGGUAGUCCUAGCCGUAAACGAUACUCGCUAGGUGUCGGCCACGGUGCGACCGUGGUCGGUGCCGUAGGGAAGCCGUGAAGCGGGCCACCUGGGAAGUACGGCCGCAAGGCUGAAACUUAAAGGAAUUGGCGGGGGAGCAC